Molecule: long non-coding RNA, 508 nt
Filed under: Rosa chinensis
Lineage: Eukaryota; Viridiplantae; Streptophyta; Magnoliopsida; Rosales; Rosaceae
Description: sRNA RchiOBHm_Chr6g0300971
Source: RNAcentral
GUUUGAUUGGGUCUUUUGUUGUCGGCGGUUUUGAAUUUUUAUGGGUUUUUGAUUGGGUCUUUUGCUGUGAGGAAGAAGAAGACCUGCGCUAUCUGCUAUAUCCUUUAAGUAUAUAGGCGUAUCGAGCUUCAGCUUCGCUGUUCUGUGUGAUCAAAUUUUGCCAUCGACGUCAACCAUCGUGAAAGCUUGGUGGGAUUUCGAUUUGUUUAUGAAUAAAGAGAUUGGGUUUUUUUCCUGCGGUUCUGGAAAAGAAAGGACAAGAGGAGAAAUUUAAUCCCAAGAUUGCAUUAUACUUGGACAUGGUCUACGUAGUAGAUUAAGGAAGUUGAAUUCAAGAGAGAGUUGCCUCCAGGUGAGAUAAUGAUAAUGCCGUUGAAUGUAACUGUUGGACAGCUAAAAUAGGAGGCUGAGAGUGUCCUAAAGGAUGCAUAUUAACAGUUUGUGGUGAAGAAAAUCAAAAGCCUGAAGGAAUCAGAUUAUAUGAAAGUAUUUUCUGAACAGUUCAGUU